UUCCUAGGAGGUGGAGGAGAUGUAACCC
RNAcentral lists this non-coding RNA (28 nucleotides) under Homo sapiens (human). Lineage: Eukaryota; Metazoa; Chordata; Mammalia; Primates; Hominidae. The record is from RNAcentral.